UUCGCAAUGCCCGAAAGGGUGACGAAGCGACGCCGCGUGGGUGAGGAAGGCCUUCGGGUUGUAAAGCCCUGUCAGGAGUUAAGAAAUGUAGACUCGCUAAUAUCGGGUCUAUUUGACAAAGGCUCCAAAGGAAGCCACGGCUAACUCUGUGCCAGCAGCCGCGGUAAUACAGAGGUGGCAAGCGUUGUUCGGAAUUAUUGGGCGUAAAGAGCACGUAGGUGGAUUUGUAAGUCAGACGUGAAAGCCUUCUGUUCAACGGAAGAAUUGCAUCUGAAACUACAAACCUUGAGUGUAGGAGGGGAGAAUGGAACUUCUGGUGGAGCGGUGAAAUGCGUAGAUAUCAGAAGGAACGCCGGCGGCGAAAGCGAUUCUCUGGCCUAUUACUGACACUCAGUGUGCGAAAGCUAGGGGAGCAAACGGGAUUAGAUACCCCAGUAGUCCUAGCCGUAAACGAUGGGCACUAAGUAGAGGGGUUUU
Molecule: ribosomal RNA, 477 nt
Filed under: Candidatus Scalindua brodae
Lineage: Bacteria; Pseudomonadati; Planctomycetota; Candidatus Brocadiia; Candidatus Brocadiales; Candidatus Scalinduaceae
Also listed under: 1 other name
Description: bacterial SSU rRNA
Rfam family: Bacterial small subunit ribosomal RNA
Source: RNAcentral